CAAGACGUGCGCGCAAGGGCGGGCGCCCGCGGGCGAGCAGCGUGACGCAGCGACGGCCCGCCCGGGCUUCCGGGGCAUCACCCGGUCGGCGCGGUCGCGGCGCGCCGAGGGCCCGACGCCUGGCGGAGAAUCAGGGUUCGACUCCGGAGAGCGGGCCUGCGAGACGGCCCGCACAUCCAAGGACGGCAGCAGGCGCGGAACUUGCCCAAUGCGCGGCGCGCGAGGCAGCGACGGGGAGCGCGCGAGCGAGGCGGGCCCACAGCCCCCGCCGCGGAGCCGAGGGCAAGGUCUGGUGCCAGCAGCCGCGGUAAUUCCAGCUCGGCGAGCGUCGCGCGGCGCUGCUGCAGUUAAAACGCCCGUAGUUGGCCCCCCGCCGCCACGAGGAAACGGGAGCGCUCCAGGCAGGCCCGUUGGACCCGCCGCGUGGGA
RNAcentral lists this ribosomal RNA (429 nucleotides) under Giardia duodenalis. Its description in RNAcentral is "SSU rRNA". It matches the Rfam family "Eukaryotic small subunit ribosomal RNA", at positions 247 to 700 of the family's 1831-position model. The record is from RNAcentral. Lineage: Eukaryota; Fornicata; Diplomonadida; Hexamitidae.